Molecule: ribosomal RNA, 497 nt
Filed under: uncultured bacterium
Lineage: Bacteria
Description: partial 16S ribosomal RNA
Rfam family: Bacterial small subunit ribosomal RNA
Source: RNAcentral
GAUGAACGCUGGCGGCGUGCCUAAUACAUGCAAGUCGAGCGAACAGACGAGGAGCUUGCUCCUCUGACGUUAGCGGCGGACGGGUGAGUAACACGUGGAUAACCUCCCUAUCAGACUGGGAUCACUUCGGGAAUCCGGAGCUAAUACCGGAUAAUAUCUUGAACCGCAUGGUUCAAUAGUGAAAGACGGUUUUGCUGUCACUUAUAGAUGGAUCCGCGCCGCAUUAGCUAGUUGGUAAGGUAACGGCUUACCAAGGCAACGAUGCGUAGCCGACCUGAGAGGGUGAUCGGCCACACUGGAACUGAGACACGGUCCAGACUCCUACGGGAGGCAGCAGUAGGGAAUCUUCCGCAAUGGGCGAAAGCUUGACGGAGCAACGCCGCGUGAGUGAUGAAGGUCUUCGGAUCGUAAAACUCUGUUAUUAGGGAAGAACAAAUGUGUAAGUAACUAUGCACGUAUUGACGGUACCUAAUCAGAAAGCAACGGCUAACUACGUG